UACAGAGGGGGCAAGCGUUGUUCGGAAUUACUGGGCGUAAAGCGCACGUAGGCGGAUUUGUUAGUCAGGGGUGAAAUCCCGGGGCUCAACCUCGGAACUGCCUUUGAUACUGCAAAUCUCGAGUCCGAUAGAGGUGGGUGGAAUUCCUAGUGUAGAGGUGAAAUUCGUAGAUAUUAGGAAGAACACCGGUGGCGAAGGCGGCCCACUGGAUCGGUACUGACGCUGAGGUGCGAAAGCGUGGGGAGCAAACAGG
RNAcentral lists this ribosomal RNA (253 nucleotides) under uncultured bacterium. RNAcentral's name for it is "partial 16S ribosomal RNA". It matches the Rfam family "Bacterial small subunit ribosomal RNA", at positions 524 to 776 of the family's 1533-position model. The record is from RNAcentral.